CGGGUGAGUAAUACUUGGGAAUUUGCCUUUAGGCGGGGGACAACCACUGGAAACGGUGGCUAAUACCGCAUAAUGUCUACGGACCAAAGUGGGGGACCUUCGGGCCUCACACCUAAAGAUGAGCCCAAGCGGGAUUAGCUAGUUGGUGAGGUAAAGGCUCACCAAGGCGACGAUCCCUAGCUGUUCUGAGAGGAUGAUCAGCCACACUGGGACUGAGACACGGCCCAGACUCCUACGGGAGGCAGCAGUGGGGAAUAUUGCACAAUGGGCGCAAGCCUGAUGCAGCCAUGCCGCGUGUGUGAAGAAGGCCUUCGGGUUGUAAAGCACUUUCAGUGGUGAGGAAAGGGUAAUCGUUAAUAGCGAUUACAGUUGACGUUAGCCACAGAAGAAGCACCGGCUAACUCCGUGCCAGCAGCCGCGGUAAUACGGAGGGUGCAAGCGUUAAUCGGAAUUACUGGGCGUAAAGCGUACGUAGGCGGUGUGUUAAGCUAGAUGUGAAAGCCCCGGGCUCAACCUGGGAAUUGCAUUUAGAACUGGCACGCUAGAGUCCUGAAGAGGGUGGUAGAAUUUCCAGUGUAGCGGUGAAAUGCGUAAAUAUUGGAAGGAAUACCGGUGGCGAAGGCGGCCACCUGGUCAGAGACUGACGCUGAGGUACGAAAGCGUGGGGAGC
Molecule: ribosomal RNA, 670 nt
Filed under: Idiomarina sp. enrichment culture clone DMSP07
Lineage: Bacteria; Pseudomonadati; Pseudomonadota; Gammaproteobacteria; Alteromonadales; Idiomarinaceae
Description: bacterial SSU rRNA
Rfam family: Bacterial small subunit ribosomal RNA
Source: RNAcentral